RNAcentral lists this ribosomal RNA (872 nucleotides) under Streptomyces sp. Its description in RNAcentral is "bacterial SSU rRNA". It matches the Rfam family "Bacterial small subunit ribosomal RNA", at positions 115 to 1005 of the family's 1533-position model. Lineage: Bacteria; Bacillati; Actinomycetota; Actinomycetes; Kitasatosporales; Streptomycetaceae. The record is from RNAcentral.
CCCCGGAAUGCCCUGCACUCUGGGACAAGCCCUGGAAACGGGGUCUAAUACCGGAUACUGAUCCUCGCAGGCAUCUGCGAGGUUCGAAAGCUCCGGCGGUGCAGGAUGAGCCCGCGGCCUAUCAGCUAGUUGGUGAGGUAACGGCUCACCAAGGCGACGACGGGUAGCCGGCCUGAGAGGGCGACCGGCCACACUGGGACUGAGACACGGCCCAGACUCCUACGGGAGGCAGCAGUGGGGAAUAUUGCACAAUGGGCGAAAGCCUGAUGCAGCGACGCCGCGUGAGGGAUGACGGCCUUCGGGUUGUAAACCUCUUUCAGCAGGGAAGAAGCGAAAGUGACGGUACCUGCAGAAGAAGCGCCGGCUAACUACGUGCCAGCAGCCGCGGUAAUACGUAGGGCGCAAGCGUUGUCCGGAAUUAUUGGGCGUAAAGAGCUCGUAGGCGGCUUGUCACGUCGGUUGUGAAAGCCCGGGGCUUAACCCCGGGUCUGCAGUCGAUACGGGCAGGCUAGAGUUCGGUAGGGGAGAUCGGAAUUCCUGGUGUAGCGGUGAAAUGCGCAGAUAUCAGGAGGAACACCGGUGGCGAAGGCGGAUCUCUGGGCCGAUACUGACGCUGAGGAGCGAAAGCGUGGGGAGCGAACAGGAUUAGAUACCCUGGUAGUCCACGCCGUAAACGGUGGGCACUAGGUGUGGGCACAUUCCACGUUGUCCGUGCCGCAGCUAACGCAUUAAGUGCCCCGCCUGGGGAGUACGGCCGCCAGGCUUAAAACUCAAGGAAAAUGACGGGGGCCCCGCACAGCGGCGGAACCUGUGGCUUAUUCCAACGCACGCGAAAACCUUACCAGGCUUGACUACCCCGGAAAUGGGCAAUC